RNAcentral lists this ribosomal RNA (799 nucleotides) under uncultured Glomeromycotina. RNAcentral's name for it is "SSU rRNA". It matches the Rfam family "Eukaryotic small subunit ribosomal RNA", at positions 314 to 1114 of the family's 1831-position model. Lineage: Eukaryota; Fungi; Glomeromycota. The record is from RNAcentral.
AUCAACUUUCGAUGGUAGGAUAGAGGCCUACCAUGGUGGUAACGGGUAACGGGGUGUUAGGGCACGACACCGGAGAGGGAGCCUGAGAAACGGCUACCACAUCCAAGGAUGGCAGCAGGCGCGCAAAUUACCCAAUCCCGACACGGGGAGGUAGUGACAAUAAAUAACAAUACGGGGUCCUUUCGGGUUUCGUAAUUGGAAUGAGUACAAUUUAAAUCUCUUAACGAGGAACAAUUGGAGGGCAAGUCUGGUGCCAGCAGCCGCGGUAAUUCCAGCUCCAAUAGCGUAUAUUAAAGUUGUUGCAGUUAAAAAGCUCGUAGUUGAAUUUCGGGAUCAGUACGUUGGUCGUGCCUUCGGUACGUACUGAUGUUACUGGUUUCUACCUUCUGAAGAACCGUCAUGUCAUUAAUUUGGUGUGGCGGGGAAUCAGGACUGUUACUUUGAAAAAAUUAGAGUGUUUAAAGCAGGCUCGCGCUUGAAUACAUUAGCAUGGAAUAAUGAAAUAGGACGUUCGAUCCUAUUUUGUUGGUUUCUAGGAUUGACGUAAUGAUUAAUAGGGAUAGUUGGGGGCAUUAGUAUUCAAUUGUCAGAGGUGAAAUUCUUGGAUUUAUUGAAGACUAACUACUGCGAAAGCAUUUGCCAAGGAUGUUUUCAUUAAUCAAGAACGAAAGUUAGGGGAUCGAAGACGAUCAGAUACCGUCGUAGUCUUAACCAUAAACUAUGCCGACUAGGGAUCGGAUGAUGUUAAUUUUUUAAUGACUCAUUCGGCGCCUUACGGGAAACCAAAGUGUUUGGGUUC